AGAUGCUGAGCAAUAAUCUGAAGUUGACAUUUUUUGUUCAUUCCACUGGUGAGGGAAGAGACCGGCAACUUCAUUUGAAAUGACACUGAACUUGACCAUGGAGGGACCUUGCUGUAAUAUGAAAUCCUGUUGGCUGUCCAAAGGGUAAGCUAGAAGUUCUACUUCAGUUAAUCAUCUCUUCUGUUCCUGUCCACCUUGAAGAUGACAGACCAUUUGUUGAAUGUGGAUCACCACUGGGGACCUUCCCCUCUGGAAGCCACCAGAUUGUUCUCUGUAUCAGUGAGUCAUUUUCUGUUUUGUUUUGUUUUGUCUGUUUCUUUUGUUUUUUAAAUUCCACAUAUAAGUACAAUAGUAUAUUUGUCUUUGUCUGAAUUAUUUUACUUAGCAUAAUAUCCUCUAGGGCCAUCCAUGUUGUCACAAAUGGCAAGAUUUCAUUUUUUCAUGACUAAUAUUCACUUGUAU
RNAcentral lists this long non-coding RNA (462 nucleotides) under Mustela putorius furo (domestic ferret). RNAcentral describes it as "lncRNA (ENSMPUG00000024399.1)". Lineage: Eukaryota; Metazoa; Chordata; Mammalia; Carnivora; Mustelidae. The record is from RNAcentral.